AUUGAACGCUGGCGGCAGGCCUAACACAUGCAAGUCGAGCGGAGCGGCGGACGGGUGAGUAAUGCCUAGGAAGCUGCCUGGUAGUGGGGGAUAACGUCCGGAAACGGUCGCUAAUACCGCAUACUAUCAGAUGAGCCUAGGUCGGAUUAGCUAGUUGGUGGGGUAAAGGCCUACCAAGGCGACGAUCCGUACCUGGUCUGAGAGGAUGAUCAGUCAAAUUGGAACUGAGACACGGGCCAGCCUCCUACGGGAGGCAGCAGUGGGGAAUAUUGGACAAUGGGCGAAAGCCUGAUCCAGCCAUGCCGCGUGUGUGAAGAAGGUCUUCGGAUUGUAAAGCACUUGAAGUAGGGAGGCGUUACCUACAGAAUAAGCACCGGCUAACUUCGUGCCAGCAGCCGCGGUAAUUC
RNAcentral lists this ribosomal RNA (407 nucleotides) under uncultured bacterium. RNAcentral's name for it is "partial 16S ribosomal RNA". It matches the Rfam family "Bacterial small subunit ribosomal RNA", at positions 30 to 526 of the family's 1533-position model. The record is from RNAcentral.